CCCCACUGCUAUCGGGAUGGGACUAAGACAUGCUAGUCGAGCGCCUUCUAGCCACGACGAAGGCGCGGCGCACAGCUCAGUAACACGUGGCUAACCUGCCCUUGGGAUAGGAACACCCCCGGGAAACUGGGGCCAAUUCCCAAUAGGCGAAGAACUCUGGAAUGAGUCUUCACCAGAGAGGACGUUUGCGUCAUGCUCGCAGGCGUCGCCUAAGGAUGGGGCCGCGACCGAUCAGGUUGUUGGUGAGGUAAUGGCCCACCAAGCCUAUAACCGGUGCGGGCCGUGAGAGCGGGAGCCCGGAGAUGGGCACUGAGACAAGGGCCCAGGUCCUACGGGGCGCAGCAGUCGCGAAAACUUUGCAAUACACGAAAGUGUGACAGGGUCAUCCCGAGUGCCGACCGCUGAGGUUGGCUUUUACCCAGUCUAGAAAGCUGGGGGAAUAAGGAGAGGGCAAGUCUGGUGUCAGCCGCCGCGGUAAUACCAGCUCCCCGAGUGGUGUGGACGUUUAUUGGGCCUAAAGCAUCCGUAGCUGGCUGAACAAGUCCCCUGUUAAACCCACCGAUUUAAUCGUUGGUCUGCGGGGGAUACUGCUCGGCUAGGGGACGAGAGAGGCAGACGGUAUUCCCGGGGUAGGGGUGAAAUCCUAUAAUCCCGAGAAGACCACCAGUGGCGAAGGCUGUCUGCUAGAACGCGCCCGACGGUGAGGGAUGAAAGCUGGGGGAGCGAACCGGAUUAGAUACCCGGGUAGUCCCAGCUGUAAACGAUGCAGACUAGGUGUUUGGACGGCCACGUGCCGUUCUAGUGCCGCAGGGAAGCUGUUAAGUCUGCCGCCUGGGGAGUACGAUCGCAAGAUUGAAACUUAAAGGAAUUGGCGGGGGAGCACCACAAGGGGUGAAGCUUGCGGUUU
Molecule: ribosomal RNA, 907 nt
Filed under: uncultured archaeon
Lineage: Archaea
Description: bacterial SSU rRNA
Rfam family: Archaeal small subunit ribosomal RNA
Source: RNAcentral